UAAGAGCGAAUGGUGGAUGCCUUGACUGGUAAAGGCGAUGAAGGACGUACUAGACUGCGAUAAGCUACGGGGAGCUGUCAAGAAGCUUUGAUCCGUAGAUUUCCGAAUGGGGCAACCCAAUGUAUAGAGAUAUACAUUACCUAUAUAGGAGCGAACGAGGGGAAUUGAAACAUCUUAGUACCCUCAGGAAAAGAAAUCAAUAGAGAUUGCGUCAGUAGCGGCGAGCGAAAGCGCAAGAGGGCAAACCCAGUGCUUGCACUGGGGGUUGUAGGACUGUAAUGUGCAAGAGGUAAGUUUAGCAGAACAUUCUGGAAAGUAUAACCAUAGAGGGUGAUAGUCCCGUAUGCGAAAAACAAACCUUAGCUAGCAGUAUCCUGAGUAGGGCGGGACACGAGGAAUCCUGUCUGAAUCCGGGUCGACCACGAUCCAACCCUAAAUACUAAUACCAGAUCGAUAGUGCACAAGUACCGUGAGGGAAAGGUGAAAAGAACUGAGGUGAUCAGAGUGAAAUAGAACCUGAAACCAUUUGCUUACAAUCAUUCAGAGCCUUAUGUAGCAAUACAGGGUGAUGGACUGCCUUUUGCAUAAUGAGCCUGCGAGUUGUGGUGUCUGGCAAGGUUAAGCAAACGCGAAGCCGUAGCGAAAGCGAGUCUGAAUAGGGCGCUUAGUCAGAUGCUGCAGACCCGAAACGAAGUGAUCUAUCCAUGAGCAAGUUGAAGCUAGUGUAAGAACUAGUGGAGGACUGAACCCAUAGGCGUUGAAAAGCCCCGGGAUGACUUGUGGAUAGGGGUGAAAGGCCAAUCAAACUUCGUGAUAGCUGGUUCUCUCCGAAAUAUAUUUAGGUAUAGCGUUGUGUCGUAAUAUAAGGGGGUAGAGCACUGAAUGGGCUAGGGCAUACACCAAUGUACCAAACCCUAUCAAACUCCGAAUACCUUAUAUGUAAUCACAGCAGUCAGGCGGCGAGUGAUAAAAUCCGUCGUCAAGAGGGAAACAACCCAGACUACCAGCUAAGGUCCCUAAAUCUUACUUAAGUGGAAAACGAUGUGAAGUUACUUAAACAACCAGGAGGUUGGCUUAGAAGCAGCCAUCCUUUAAAGAAAGCGUAAUAGCUCACUGGUCUAGUGAUUUUGCGCGGAAAAUAUAACGGGGCUAAAGU
This 1156-nucleotide ribosomal RNA is filed under the name Campylobacter jejuni. RNAcentral describes it as "partial 23S ribosomal RNA". It matches the Rfam family "Bacterial large subunit ribosomal RNA", at positions 12 to 1188 of the family's 2925-position model. Lineage: Bacteria; Pseudomonadati; Campylobacterota; Epsilonproteobacteria; Campylobacterales; Campylobacteraceae. The record is from RNAcentral.